AUUGAACGCUGGCGGCAGGCCUAACACAUGCAAGUCGAGCGGAUGAAGGGAGCUUGCUCCUGGAUUCAGAGGCGGACGGGUGAGUAAUGCCUAGGAAUCUGCCUGGUAGUGGGGGAUAACGUCCGGAAACGGGCGCUAAUACCGCAUACGUCCUGAGGGAGAAAGUGGGGGAUCUUCGGACCUCACGCUACCAGAUGAGCCUAGGUCGGAUUAGCUAGUUGGUGGGGUAAAGGCCUACCAAGGCGACGAUCCGUAACUGGUCUGAGAGGAUGAUCAGUCACACUGGAACUGAGACACGGUCCAGACUCCUACGGGAGGCAGCAGUGGGGAAUAUUGGACAAUGGGCGAAAGCCUGAUCCAGCCAUGCCGCGUGUGUGAAGAAGGUCUUCGGAUUGUAAAGCACUUUAAGUUGGGAGGAAGGGCAGUAAGUUAAUACCUUGCUGUUUUGACGUUACCAACAGAAUAAGCACCGGCUAACUUCGUG
RNAcentral lists this ribosomal RNA (484 nucleotides) under uncultured bacterium. RNAcentral's name for it is "partial 16S ribosomal RNA". It matches the Rfam family "Bacterial small subunit ribosomal RNA", at positions 30 to 507 of the family's 1533-position model. The record is from RNAcentral.